ACGGAAGGCAGCAGUGAGGAAUAUUGGUCAAUGGGCGGAAGCCUGAACCAGCCAAGUCGCGUGAAGGAUGAAGGUAUUAUGUAUUGUAAACUUCUUUAGCCAGGGGGCAAUAAGGCGUACGCGUACGCCGAUGAGCGUACCUGGAGAAUAAGGAUCGGCUAACUCCGUGCCAGCAGCCGCGGUAAUACGGAGGAUCCGAGCGUUAUCCGGAUUUAUUGGGUUUAAAGGGUGCGCAGGCGGCUUUCUAAGUCAGUGGUUAAAUCGUGACGCUCAACGUCAUCACGCCAUUGAUACUGGAGAGCUUGAUUGCGGUCGAGGUUUGCGGAAUUCGUCGUGUAGCGGUGAAAUGCAUAGAUAUGACGAAGAACACCGAUUGCGUAGGCAGCAGACCAGGCCGUAAAUGACGCUCAUGCACGAAAGUGCGGGGAUCGAACAGGAUUAGAUACCCUGGUA
Molecule: ribosomal RNA, 453 nt
Filed under: uncultured Porphyromonadaceae bacterium
Lineage: Bacteria; Pseudomonadati; Bacteroidota; Bacteroidia; Bacteroidales; Porphyromonadaceae
Description: partial 16S ribosomal RNA
Rfam family: Bacterial small subunit ribosomal RNA
Source: RNAcentral